This 103-nucleotide small nuclear RNA is filed under the name Cuculus canorus (common cuckoo). The record is from RNAcentral. Lineage: Eukaryota; Metazoa; Chordata; Aves; Cuculiformes; Cuculidae.
UUGCUUCUACAGCACAUACACUGAAAUUGGAACAAUAUGGACAAGAUUAGCACAGGCCUUGCACAAGGAUGACACACAAAUUUGUGAAACUUUCCAUAUUCUU